GACGAACCGUCCGAACGUUAUUCGGAAUUACUGGGCUUAAAGGGUGCGUAGGCGGCCUUACAAGUCAGGUGUGAAAUCCCACGGCUCAACCGUGGAACUGCGCCUGAAACUGUAGGGCUUGAGGGAGAUAGAGGUGAGCGGAACUGAUGGUGGAGCGGUGAAAUGCGUUGAUAUCAUCAGGAACACCGGCGGCGAAGGCG
Molecule: ribosomal RNA, 200 nt
Filed under: uncultured bacterium
Lineage: Bacteria
Description: partial 16S ribosomal RNA
Rfam family: Bacterial small subunit ribosomal RNA
Source: RNAcentral